RNAcentral lists this ribosomal RNA (414 nucleotides) under uncultured microorganism. RNAcentral describes it as "bacterial SSU rRNA". It matches the Rfam family "Archaeal small subunit ribosomal RNA", at positions 459 to 872 of the family's 1478-position model. The record is from RNAcentral.
CAGCAGCCGCGGUAAUACCGGCGGCCCGAGUGGCGGUCACUAUUAUUGGGCUUAAAGCGUCCGUAGCCGGGUUGGGAAGUCCUCCGGGAAAUCUGGCCGCUUAACGGUCAGAAUGCCGGAGGAUACUCCCAGCCUAGGGAGCGGGAGAGGCCGAGGGUAUUCCCGGAGUAGGGGGGAAAUCCUAUAAUCCCGGGAGGGCCACCUGUGGCGAAGGCGCUCGGCUGGAACGCGUCCGACGGGGAGGGACGAAGGCCAGGGGAGCAAACCGGAUUAGAUACCCGGGUAGUCCUGGCUGUAAACGAUGCGGACUUUGUGUCGGACAAGCUAUGAGCUUGUCCGGUGCCGGAGGGAAACCGUUAAGUCCGCCGCCUGGGGAGUACGGCCGCAAGGCUGAAACUUAAAGGAAUUGGCGGG